Molecule: long non-coding RNA, 19258 nt
Filed under: Manihot esculenta (cassava)
Lineage: Eukaryota; Viridiplantae; Streptophyta; Magnoliopsida; Malpighiales; Euphorbiaceae
Description: long non-coding RNA (MESC_LNC010278)
Source: RNAcentral
CAAAAUUUUCAAACUUCAAAUUGAUAACUCUAUGAUGACUUUAUAAAGUUGAAUCCUAUUUUUACAAAAGUCAGUGACAUGUUCACAACAUGGGUGGCUAACUAUGCAAUGUGGUCAGUAAUCUGCAAGAGUGUCAGUUCAUAAAACCAAUAUAACAUAACUGACCCAUCUCACCAAUGAACAUAUGAGUGCCAAUAGUUUGAGUUGUCUAGCUACUCAAUUUAUCUCGUGCUCAAGUGCUUAGUUAACUAUUGAGCUGUCUUCUGUCAAAAUUAAUAGCUUCUGUUUAGCUUAACUCAAACUUGAUCUAGAUUAGCAAAUGCCUUAAAAUGACCAAGCUAGAUUUUACCUGUUAUGAACUAUGAAUGGCUAAGACCAUUUUGCCUCCCUAUUCAUGUUUCGUGUCCUGCCCAGAAAUGAUAAUUGGCUUGAAGUUUUGUUUCUUUUGUCUUACUUUGUUGUAAUAUGCUUGUGUUUAUUGCUGAUAGUCUUUGAUUGAUGCAGGUUUGCAUUAUUUGGUGGUGCUCGCCCUCGUGAAGUGGUAAGCAAAUUUGCUUUAUCUAUACUGGGGAGGCCAGGGUCAAAAUUCGGAGAUUGGUUUUCAGACUGUCAAUAAAGAUAUGUCAUUUCUGGUUGACCAUUCACAUGUUUCUCUCUCUCUCUCUCUCUCUCUCUCUCUCUCCUCAGGUUCUGAAGGAGCGUGGAAUUGACAGUGCUGCAAUUAGUAACCAUAGCGUGGGUCAGCAGCCAGAUAGGUAAUGGAUGUCUUCUGCUCUUCUUCACUUUUAUGAUAUUUUCACUUGGUUGCUUCCUAUCAUUUGAUGAUAGAAUGAAAUUAAUUGUUUUUCCUGUCAUUUGCCGUAAUACGUGAAGGGUCAUGCUUAAUGUUUCCAAGAUUGAAAGAGUCCCUGAGCAUGCAGUUCCUAUUCGUCAUGGUGAAAGGACUGACAAUAUUCAUCCAGAUCAAAGGACAGGAAAGAAAAUUGAAAAGAAGGAUCAGAAAAUGGAUGUUGAGAGAGUUGAUAAACAGAGGAGGAAUUGGCGAAGUGAGAACUGGAGAAACAGCAGAGAGACUGAGAGGCAGCAGCAACCUCAAUUGCAGCAGGAGAGGCCUCCUUCACCAGAGACCUGGCGAAAACCAGUUGAACAACCAAAACCAGCCUCUCCUGAUGCUACUGGUCUGCGUUAUGGUAAAACAGCUUCAGCCUUGGAGCUUGCCCAAGCAUUCUCAAGGUCAUUCUCUGAUCCAAAAACAACUGAUAGAUAUUCUGGACAAAGAGGCCUCCCUGGCAAGACUCAAAUGCCCUUUUCACGGCUAACGGGCCCAACACCAAGGCAUCAAAUAAAUGGCUACUAAAUUUUGAGCGGUCUUAUGGCCAAUUAGGAAUCUGGUGUUAAGAAGAUUGUGCCUCUGAUAUUUAAGCCUUUGUUAGAUGCGAGCUGUUGCAAUCAUCUGUCACUCAGCGAAUGAGUUUGCACAAUUGAUGGCCAUUUGAAGUCUAGUGGAAUGCUCCAGCUUCUUCUGAUGCCAUCUUCACUUUGUAAACUCACGUCCUUUAUAACCUUUUUUCUUUUAAUCUCAAUAACUGUAUGCCUCCUUUUUUAGGAGAGAGUGAUAUUGGUUGCUUAUUUUUACAUUGAAAAUUUAGGCAUUUGUUUCAUGAGCGUUAAGCGGUUUGCGACGUUUUUGCUAAGCAUGAAGCAAUAGAACAACUCGUUUAAGGUCCUUUUUCGUAAAAAUGCUUUUAUUUUUUGGAGAAUAUUUUGUUAUUGAGAAACAACAGGUAUUGCUUAUGAGGAGGGGUUUCGUAGCGAUCUUAGUUUGAUUUGAGCUGGUAAUGGGUGAUUAUUUUGAUUUUGAUUCGAUCCAUAUUUGAUAAUAUAUAAAUAACAUGAUCUAUUAAGAUUGCGGCACUUGGACAUGUGAUUUAGAAAGAUUUUAUAAAUCGUUUGAUCCGAUUGGGUAGUAGGAACUCGAUCUAUGAGAUAUAAAAAUUAAAACAACACUUUUAACUCCUACAAAGUUCGAAACGGACGAACAGGGUUUUUCAAGACUUGGCCUUGGAUGCCAACCUGAUCAAUUAUAAGUGAUUAUGGGAGAUUUAUCUCAAUAUAAAUCGAGUAAGUCAAACACUACUUGAUGCGAUGAAGAUUGAAUGUUGAUCUUUUACGCAUUGUAUGUCUCCUUCAUAUGUCGUUGAGAUCAUAGAUGCACAUGCUAUAGAAUAGGUGACAUGACAUGGGCGAAAGGACGGGGCAUGAGUUAAUCGGUUCUGUAUUUAUUAGUUAACUGUUUACAAUUAAUGAGCCGUCUGAUACACUUGCUAAAGGAUGUCCCCAUCCAAUCUAAAGGGACGUAGGACAAGGGACGUAGGACGAGGAGUGUCAGGAUGAUCAUGAUAUAUAUAUACUUGUACCAACCCUAAUUCGACAUCACUUAACUUUUUUUGAAAACCUCACAUUAAAAUUACCUCCAAAAAACCUUUACUCACCCAAAUCAACGACUAGCUCUAUUAACUUUUUAAUUACCAAUCCCGAUUCAUUGAUUUCCUUGUGAUAUUAAAUUAUUGUCUAGGUGUAUUCAUUUGAUAAGCUCGUUGGAUAUUAGAUUAUCAAUUGGCACCGUCUAUGAAAAUAAAGGAGACCAUUCGCAUGGUAAAUCAAGAAAAGUUAAUAACAGUAACAUGAGAGACUGAAAGGAAAAGAGAUGGAGAAAAGACCAGAAAACCAUGGGCUAAAUCUAGAAGCCACACGGUAAAGGCCCAACAGAAGAAGGCGUGGAUGUGAGAAGGGAUACAAACACAAAAAUGGUCAAUUAAUUAUGGGAGAAAAGUGAUGUUGUGAUAUAAGUAAGCUAUACAGUACUUCUCUAGAUCGAGAAAUUUUGUUAUCAUUGUAACGAUCCAGAAUUUGGACCGCUACCGGCGCUAGGGUCCAGAUCGACUUAAGGUCGCCAGGACCCGUAGCAAGCCUAACAUACAUCUGUACACCUGUUAAAUCCCAUACAUGAUCAAACAUAAACAUACAAACUUUAAACUUUUCUUUCAUUUACCAAGCUUAACCUGUGCAUACUCAUAAUCAUACACAUAAACCUCACACUGGAACCCUCAUCAAAUGCUCCAAUGGGGUAACAUAACAUACAUUAAGCUUGGUUUACAUAAAACAUCAUUAACACAUUACAUAGAUCAUGUACCUACAAAGGGAUUAACCAUACAUACUAGGGUCAAGCACAAUUCUAAACCUCAAUAACAUUAUUACAUUACAUGACUGAUCAACACUAUACAUUACAUCAUAUUCUUUCUCAUGUCCACUUACUAACUAUUACAUAUAUAAAACCUUCCUACUCUAGCUGACUUCCCGGACUAUCUCGUACCUGCAAACCUGGGGUUUAAGGGAAUGGGGUGAGCUAAAAAGCCCAGUGAGUAGAACCAUAAAACAUUAUCAUAAAUCAUGCUUUCAUGGAAUGCGUCAUAACACAUACAAUUCACAUCAAGGAUGGACUUGUCACCAAUAACCCUCUCAAUCCAAUGUGCCCGGCCCUCGACGGAGCUCCGCAGGACUUCUAUAAUCAUCACAUAAUGCCAAGACGCAUGGACAUGGGCAGCCCUGGACUUUCAUUAAUCAUCAUACAUAAAUAAAUGCCAGGACGCGUGGACAUGGGCAGCCUUGGACUUUCAUUAAACAUCAGACAUAUUGAGGGCUAAGGGUUCAUCCAAAAUUCAUCCACAUCAACAGCAAUUUAUGCAAUGUAUCAUAUUCGUGAAUUCUAAUGCAAUACAACCUAAUAUAUAUACAUGGCAUUCAUGAUGCAUGAAACAUGCUAAAAACUUUCAUUAUUUAAAACAUAGUUCAGUUCUACUCACCUCUGGCUGACUCUGAUCUAAUCUGUAGCAACUGACUCACUGCUGGGCUCCUCGGUUCCUCGGGUCCGAUCCUACACAGGUGGACUCGAAUGAGGUGCCAAACAAACACUAGCAUAACUCUAAACAACUCCCUAAAACCCCCCCCAAAACACCUCAAAACAUUCAUGCAAAAUAGGCAAAGGAAGGCUGGACAGGGCACUUUCGGCGGCACUUUCGGCGGCACUUUAGGCGGCCGAACUCUUCUCCAGAUCCGAAAGUCAUGCACCUUUGGCGGCACCUUCGGCGGCCGAAAGUUCCCUCCAGAUACGAAAGUCAUGCAUGUUCGGCAGCAGGUUCGGCGGCCGAAAGUGCCCUCCAGAGCCGAAAGUCCAACUUUCGAAGGCAGGGUUCGGCAGCCGAAAGCUGCCUCCACAGGCAGGUUCGGCGGCCGAAAGUGCCUUCGGCUGCCGAACCUGAGUUCUUCCAGAAAUGGCAGAACUCAGCCAUUCUAUGCACAUUGCCUCCCAAACUUUUCCAAUCAUGCAUUUAGCUAUUCUACAACAUGCCUACACAUGCCAACAAGCACAUAGGGGUCUCAAACUAUCCUAAACCCCAACAACAACACAUAUAACAUACAUUAACCACAAACUCAACAUAAAUCCUAUCAACAACCAACCAACCCUAACAUGCAUUUCUACCCCCUAAACCAGCAUAAAACUUACUUAAAACAUACAAGAAGGGUAGGAUCUAAGCUUACAUCUUGAAGAUCGAGAGGAGAAACGAUCCUUAACUUAGAGGUAGGAGAAAUCUAGCUCCUUGGGUCUCCAAACUCCACAACUUGAUCUUAGUUUCAAAACUUCAAAAAAACAAGUAAACACUUGUUAAAACUUGAAAGAUUUGAGGAAAAUCAUCAAAACCAACCAUGGGAGGGCAUGGACUCACCUCUGGCCGGAAAUGGGGAGGAAAACUCACCCAUUUUCGGCCAUGGGGCUUCUUAUAGGUAGCUGGCCAGGCCACCUUCGGAAGCCAAAGGUGACUCCGAAACUCAUAUAUGUUUGGCGGCCGAACCUGGAUUUCCCUCUAUGGUUAUUUUCAUUCAAAACUCAAUUUCUUUCUUACUUAAAAUCAUAAAAUACAUAAAAACAUUUUAUAAAAACAUGAUUUUACCCUUCCAGAGGUUUCCGACAUCCGAGAUUUUACCUGACGGUAGGAAUUCCGAUACCGGAGUCUAGCCGGGUAUUACAUUCUCCCCCCCUUAAGAACAUUUGUCCCCGAAUGUUCACCAAACAACACAUGCCUAGCAUAAAACACCAAGAAGCACAUAAACCUAUAACACAUACCUUAAAAGAGAUGGGGGUAUUGCUGGAGCAUGGACUCCCGUGUCUCCCAAGUAUAUUCCUCGAUGUUGUGGUGAUUCCAAAGGACUUUAACCAUUGGAAUUUCCUUGUUUCUCAACUUUCUGAUCUGCGUGUCUAGAAUCCGCACUGGCUGUUCAACAUAGGUAAGAUCUUCUUGGAUCUCCACAUCAGGCUCACUAAGAACCUUAUCCGGAUCUGACACGAACUUCCUUAACAUGGAAACAUGGAAAACCGGAUGGAUUCCCUCCAUAGAAGCAAGUAAAUUCUGCUUAUACGAUACAUUCCCGAUCUUUUGCAAGAUUUCAAAGGGUCCGAUGUACCGUGGAGCUAGUUUACCUUUCUUCCCAAACCGAAUCACCCCUUUCAUAGGAGACACCUUGAGCAAUACCAAAUCCCCCUCCUGAAACUCCACCUGUCUCCUGUGGACAUCUGCAUAACUUUUCUGUCGACUGAUAGCAGUUCUGAUCCUCUCUCUGAUAAUGGGUACCAUUCUGCUGGUGAUCUUUACUAACUCUGGGCCUGCCAGGGCCCUCUCUCCUACUUCUUCCCAGCAAACAGGUGAUCUGCACUUCCUCCCAUACAAAGCUUCAUAUGGAGCCAUCCCUAUGCUAGCAUGAUAGCUGUUAUUGUAGGCAAACUCCACCAAAGGUAGAUGCUGCCUCCAAGAACCGCCAAAAUCUAGCACACACAUUCUGAGCAUAUCUUCAAUUGUUUGGAUGGUCCUCUCCGACUGUUCAUCAGUCUGAGGAUAGAAAGCAGUGCUAAAAUCCAAUCUGGUACCCAUGGCGGAGGAUCCCUUUACUGUUAAAUCUGAACUCAUCAUUCUUGCCUGACUGAACAGUCCUGGCAAUCUUCACUAACUCUGGGUCCUCGUGCUGUUUCUGAGCCACCUGCUUCAGAAACACAGGUGUCACUCUCAUCUGGGCUAUCAAAGCACCUGUACCAGACAACUCUAACUGCAGACCUUCAUUAAUAAGCUUAUGAAACUCUUUCACCACCGGUCUCCUCUCUGCUGUGAUAUGGGAUAGACUGCCAAGUGAUUUCCGGCUUAAGGCGUCUGCCACAACAUUCGCCUUACCUGGAUGAUACUGAAUCUUGCAAUCAUAGUCACUAAGCAGUUCUACCCAUCUUCUCUGUCUCAGGUUCAACUCUCUCUGACUCAGGAUGUACUGCAAGCUCUUAUGAUCUGUGAAGAUCUCACAUUUAACCCCAUAAAGGUAAUGCUUCCACAUCUUGAAUGCAAAGAUUACAGCUACCAUUUCUAGGUCAUGUGUAGGGUAAUUCAACUCAUGCUUCUUCAGCUGUCUAGAAGCAUAAGCAAUCACCCUUUCAUUCUGCAUCAACACAUAACCCAGUCCCACACGGGACGCAUCACAAAACAUUGCAAAAUCCUCAUUACUAUUAGGCAAAGCUAACACCGGUGCUGACGUCAACCUCUUCUUUAGCUCCUCAAAUCUCUCUUCACACUGAUCGGUCCAACUAAACUUCUGAUUCUUUCUGGUCAAUCUGGUCAUAGGAGUUGCAAUCUUAGAGAAGUCCUGAACGAACCUUCUGUAGUAACCUGCCAAACCCAGAAAGCUUUUGAUCUCUGUUACUGUAGUGGGUCUAGGCCAGUUAGCCACAGCUUCUACCUUCUUGGGGUCCACUUCGAUUCCAUUCUCUGACACAACAUGGCCCAAGAAUGAGAUGCUCCUCAACCAGAACUCACACUUGGAGAACUUGGCAUACAAGCCAUGUUCCCUCAAGGUCUGCAAAACUGUCCUCAGAUGAUGGGCAUGCUCCUUUGCAUUUCUGGAAUACACUAAGAUAUCAUCUAUGAAGACAAUAACAAAGUGAUCCAGAUACUGCCUGAAAACCCUGUUCAUAAGAUCCAUGAAUGCUGCAGGGGCAUUGGUUAAUCCGAACGGCAUCAUGACUCGCGGUUGUCGAAGCCGGUCAAAAAUAACCUUUCUGGUUAUCAACAAUUUACAACUGCAGAUAGUGGUGAAAGGAUCGAAUCCACAGAGAAUUGAGAACUCACCUAUUUCUCUUUUUAUGAUCAAGAAAAUAAACUGAAAUGAUAAUAAAUUAAAAAUGAGAUAAAAGACUGAAAGUGGGAUCAAAUGAGAUAAACUGAAAAUUGGGAUCAAAACUGUCAACAAAAUAACAGGGGGGUUUGAGAUUGAUUGUAGUAAACUAAUAAUGAGAAUAAUAAUGGAAAGCAAAUAAUCAAAUAAAAAGUAAUCAAUAAUGAGAAAGCUCUAGUUGAAGUAUUGGAUCCACUUUAGUUGUUGGGAUUGAUCACAGACACUAUGUUCUUUUGGGUUGACCCAAUAGAUUAGUUAUGGAGUUGGAAUAAGAUUCUCACUACCAUUAUCUCUCCUUAUUAUCAAAUUAAUUAGGGAACGUCCUCUAAUCAAUUACUAAUCAACAAGUUGCCAAGGAACGUCCUUGGACCUCAGGCAACAAACAACUGUUAAUUGCAUUAAGAAGUAGAGAGAUCUAAUCCUAGCUACCCAAACGUAUGGAGAUAACGCUAGAUCAUGCAACUUCCUUGAUUUUUAUGCCAAGUGUUCUUAUGUAAGAAUAAUCUAAGCAAUUACGGACUUAAAUCAUUCAAACUAACAAAUAAUUAUUUUCCGAUAAAAAAUCAACGUAGAUCUCAAUAACAAAGUAAUAUGAAAAUUAAGUAUGAAAUUGCAUGAAUAUUGAACUCCCAAAAGUUAAAGAAUAUUUGAUCAAGUCUCACAACCCAUUAAACAACUAAAGCUUCAACCAAUAUCCAACUAGAUUAAAGGAAUUCAGCCACUUAUGGUUGAAUUAAAAACAGAAAAUAAAAGGAAAAAGAAAAAAGGAGAACCGAUGAGAUUGAGAGGAAUUAGAAUCUGCCCUUUGCGCCAAGCCUUGCGAAAAUUGCCGAGAGGAGAGAAUUGGUUUUCUGGUGGCCACUUAAGAGUCUUUAAAUAGGAGGAGAGGAGUGUGCCUAGCUUCCAAUUGUGGUCCAUGUGCGGAUGAAUUUGAUGAAGUGCUGGCCAUGUGCGUGAAUUGAUGAGAUGCUUUGGUCCCGUGCAAGAUGGGCUGGUCUAUGUGCUGAGUGCUUUGGCGGGUCCGUGCGGAUCCCAUGUGCGUGAGAAUACGCUUGGCCCAUUGGCGUGAAGCGCUUGGUCCAUGUGCUUGGCCCAUUUGCGUGAAUGUGUGGAUCCAUGUGUAACGACCCGAAAAUCGGACCGCUACUGGCGCUAGGAUCCAGGUCGGCAUAAGGCCGUCGAGACCCGUAGCAAGCCUAACAUUCAUCCUGUGAACCUGUUUAAUCCCAUACAUGAUCAACAACAUACAUAAAAAUUUUGAACUUUUCUUUCAUUCCUUUACCAAACUCAACCUGUGCAUGCACUAUACAUAAACAUAACCAUAAACAUUGGCCCCUCUUUGGAAUCUCAUCAAUGCCCCAAUGGGUGACAUAACAUGUGUUGAGUUGGUUUACAUAAACAUCAUAAAACAUCUAAGAUCAUGUAUUAAAAGGGAUAACAACAUUCUAUGGUCAAGCAUACCUUUAACGUCCAUGAACAUCAUUACAUUACAUUUCUAUACUGUACUUAUACAUGAUUGUACUAAACAUAACAUCUCAACAUUAUUCAUGUCCACACUAUCUAUUACAUAACCAAGACUUCAUUACUCUUGCUGACCUCCUGGUCUACCCUGUACCUGCAAACCUGGGGGUUAAGGGAGAGGGGUGAGCUAUAAAGCCCAGUGAGCAGAAUAAUAAAACAUUUAAAACAUAUGAUAACAUGAAAUGCAUCACAUCACAAUCAUAUCACAUCAAGGAUGAAUUUGUCACCCAUAGCCCUCAAAGUGGUCCAACUGUGCCAGGGGAGUAGAAUGGGCCUCACUGGUCUUUCUUUUAUAUAACAUAUCAUAACAUAACAUUCCAACUGUGCCAGGGGCGUAGAAUGGGCCUCGCUGGUCUUUCUCUCACAUAGUGCCAGGGGCAUAGAAUGGGCCUCACUGGUCUUCCGUACCGUAUCAUAUCAUACCAUAUCAUAUCCUGGGAGGGCUAAAGGAUCAUUCAACAUUCAUCCACAUCAUCAACAUAUUAUGCAAUGCAACAUAUUCGUGAAUUCUAAUGCAAACAACCUAAUAUAUCUCAUGGUAUUCAUGAUGCGUGAAUCAUGCUAAGAAUUAAUUUAUUUACUUAAAAACAUAAAGAGUUUAUUCCACUCACCUCUGGCUGAAGCUCUACUGACUCUGAGGUGACAGACUCACUGCUGGGGUCCUCGGUUCCUCGGGUCCGAACCUACACAGGUGGACUCAAAUGAGGGACCAAACAUCUAUGAUCAAGACUCUGAAAUACUCCCCAAAAACCCCUUAAAACAAUCAUAGGAAACAUGCAAAGGAAGGCUGAACAGGGCACUUUCGGCGGCAGGUUCGGCGGCCGAAAGUCCCUCCAGAGCCGAAAGUCAGACAGGUUCGGCGGCACCUUCGGCGACCGAAACUCCCAGACAGAGACGAAACUCAUGCAUGUUCGGCGGCACUUUCGGCGGCCGAAACUGCCCUCCAGAGACGAAAGUCCUCUUUCGGGGCAGGCUUCGGCAGCCGAAGGCUACCUCCACAAGCGGGUUCGGCGGCCGAAAGUCCAUUCGGCAGCCGAACCUGAGUUUCUCCAAAGUGGCAGAAACGCAACUCCAACAUGCACAAACGCCUCCCAAACCUUUCAAACAUGCAUAAACCUUAUCUACAACAUGCAUACUCAAGCAUACAAGCUCCUAGGGGCUUCAAACUAUCUUAAACCCCAACUACAACACAUCAAGUAACCUCAAACAUCAUAUAUUGCUCAAAAACUUAACAUAACCCAUAAAACCAACCAAAACCUAAACAUGCAUUUCUACCCCAUAGAUCAACUUAAAACUUGUUCAAAACAUAUCGUGAGCUCAAGAUCGGCCCUUACCUCUUGAAGAUCGAGAGGAAAAUGACCCUAGCUCAGAGAUGGAAGAGAUUGAGUUUCUUGAACCUCAAAACUCCAAAAAUUGCUUUAAGUUCGAAAAUCUUCAAAACAAAGUGAAAACUUGUGAAAAUCGUGAAAGAUUUGAAGGAAGAAACUCAAGAUCGGUGAGGGACGGCGGAGAGCUCACCUUGGCCGAAAAUGGGGAGAAAAGCUCGCCCGUUUUCGGCUAAGAGACCCCUUUAUAGGUGGCUGGCCAGACCACAUUUGGGAGCCGAACGUGCCUCCGCAUGCAUGCCAUGUUCGGCGGCCGAACCUGGUUUCCCUCACUUAUGCCUUCGGGGGCCUAAGGCACACCCGAAACACAUGCAUGUUCGGCGGCCGAACCUGCAUCUUCCUCCAAGGCUAUUUCCAUUAAAAUUCAACUUCCUUUUUAUUUAAAAUCAUAAAAUACAUUAAAACAUUUUAUAAAAACAUGGUUUUUGCCUUCUAGAGGUUUCCGACAUCCGAGAUCCCACCGGAUGGUAGGGAUUCCGAUACCGGAGUCUAGCCGGGUAUUACACCAUGUGCUUGACCUGGUCCACGUGAGGUGCUUGAUCCAUGUGUGGGAAUGGGCUAUCCGUGAUUGCAAAGUCGCUUGAAUAUUUAAAUUUUAAAAUAUUUUCCUCAUUUAGCUUAACUUGAAUCCAACUUGGCAGGCUUGCUAUCUUUUGCUCCAAAUAAGGCAGUUUUAGGGGGAUUUUCUCCAAAUUGUCCUUUUACACCAUUUUCUGCAAAAUAAUAUUAAAAGCACUAAAUUAAGCAGAAAUCAUGUAAAUAUUUAUCAAUAAUAUUAAUAUAAAUUGGACUAAAUUAUGCUCUAUCACAUCACUAGGAACUCAUAGUGCCCAUACUUGGUCCUGAAUGCCGUCUUCGGCACAUCCUCUUCUCUUAUUCUCAACUGGUGGUACCCAGAUCUCAUAUCUAUCUUGGAGAAACAACCCGCUCCUACUAGCUAGUCAAAUAGAUCAUCAAUCCUAGGCAACGGAUACUUGUUCUUGGUAGUGACUUUGUUCAACUGCCUGUAGUCGAUACAAAGCCUGAGGGAUCCAUCCUUCUUCCUCACAAACAACAUUGGAGCUCCCCAAGGUGAGGUACUCGGUCGGAUGAAACCCUUAUCUACCAGCUCUUGCAACUGCUCCUUAAGCUCCUUCAACUCUGCUGGUGCCAUCCUGUAGGGAGGAAUAGUGAUUGGUCUGGUUCCAGGCAUCAAUUCUAUUUCGAACUCUAUCUCCCUAGUAGGUGGUAGUCCUGAAAGUUCAUCUGGGAAGACAUCUGAAAACUCUCUGACCACGGGCACGGAGGUGGGCUCCCUAACCUAACUAUUAAGCUCUCUCACAUGAGCCAAAUACCCCUGACAUCCCCUCCUAAGCAACCUACGAGCCUAAAGAGCUGAUAUCAGACCUCUAGGUGUAUCCCUCUUGUCUCAUCUGAAGAUGACCUCUGACCCACCCUGAUCUCUGAACCUGACUACCUUGUCCCUGCAGUCCAAGGUAGCACCAUGGGUAGAUAGCCAAUCCAUCCCUAGAAUGAUGUCAAAAUCUGUCAAAUCUAGAACCACUAGGUCGGCUGGAAGGCACCUAUCCUCAACGAACACAGGACUAAAUCGGCAGACUGUCUCUGCCACUGAUGGGUCACACUUGGGUCCACUGACCCAUAGGGGACACUCUAAUCCAGAGAUCAUGAAUCCCAACCUCUCAACUGCUCUCGGAGCAACAAAAGAAUGAGAUGCACUGGGGUCCAUUAAUGCAUACACAUCAGAACAACCAAUGAUGAGAUUACCUGACACCACGGUGUUGGAUGUGUUCGCCUCUUGCUGGGUCAUUGUGAAGAUCCGUGCUGGAGCUGAUGGACCUGCACCAUAGGAACCUGCUGAAGAAGAGACUGCCCCUCUCCCCCUGCCUCUGCCACUGCCCUGAGUCGUGGCUGGAGCUACUGGUUGGGCUACACUACCAGAACCCGUCUGCUGGGACUGUGCCCCUGAAUUUGCUCUAGGGCACUCCCGAGCCAUGUGCCCCUCUUGUCCACAUCUGAAACAUGCAGUCGUCCCAGCCCGGCAAAUUCCUUUGUGUGGCUUACCACACUUCAUACAACCAUGACUGCCCAAACCAGAACUUGAGCCACCUCCCAUUCCCAGACUGGACUUUAUCUUAUUCCAGAACUUGCUCUUCUUGGACUUGGAUCUGUCCAUCCUUACAUUGCUUGGUGUCUUGGAACCUGAAGGCUGUGCCACUGACUGUUUAACUCUCCCUUCGAUUAUUGCACUGGCCUCCAUCUUCUGGGCCAUAUCCACUAUGGCAUGGAAGCUCUCCCUUUCUGCGGAUUGAAUUAAGGAGGAAUACCUGGAAUGAAGCUUCAUACUAUACCUCAUUGCCUUCUUCUGAUUUGUGUUAAAGGUUUGCCCUGCGAACGGCAACAGCUCCAAGAACUUGUCUGUAAACUCCUCCACACUCAUCUCAUCGGUCUGCCUCAAUUGUUCAAAUUCUAUCAUCUUCAAUUCCCUUGAGCUGUCAGGGAAAGCCCAUCCUGCAAACUCAUUUGCAAACUCCUCCCAUGAAAGACUAUCUAACCUCGGGUUCACAUAAUUCUUGAACCAAUCUUUGGCUUUCUUACAUUUUAAUGUGAACCCAGCCAUCUGAAUGGCUCUGCUGUCAUCUGCCCCAACUCAUCUGAAAUCAUCUUGACCAUCCUGAGGUACUCAAAUGGAUCAUCGCCUGUUUCAUACUAGGGAGCACCCAACUUUAAGUAAUCAGUCAUCUUGACCUUGCUCCCCCCAGAUGAGCUAGGUUUAGGUACUUGGGCUUCUGGGACCAUGAGUUCUGCUGGUGGUGGAGGAGGUGCAACAUCCCCUGGGUUAGGGUUUGCUGCACCCGGAUAAAAGGAUGGGGUGGGUACAUAGGGUAUUGUGGAUAUGGUGGGUAGAAAGGUGGGUAUGGCAUGUAAGAUGGGUAAAUGUUAAAACUGGGGUAAUCCGAUCUACCUCCCAUCGAAUACCCGGGAUUAUGUGAAAAGGGUGGGUAUUGGGGUGGCUGAACAAACCUCGAGGCUUGAGUGCCUCCCUAAGACUCUCCCAUGCCCUCUUCAGACAUGCUUACACCAAGACUGCCAUCCCUCCUCUGAUCCACAUCCAUAUCAUCCCCCUCAGCCGAAACUCCACCCUGCACUGUUCCUCUUUUGCUUGGAUCAAAAGACCUUCUAGGGUCCCUCGACACUCUUUCCCUACUAGACCUACAUGACAUUGCCCUAGGCAAUGCGGGAGGAUGGACAUCCAUGCCCUCAUCCUGGGGUGGUACUCUAGUCAAUCGUGCAGAUCGACGAGUUCCUCUCAUCCGUCUUCUGAAAAAAAAACAGCACACAUCUCAUAAACAUUAGCAUCAUCUGGUUCAUGUGAAACACAUGAACCCGCAUCACAUACAUAGCAUAACAUUAAUGCACAUGCAUACUAUCAUGGCAUUUCACAUCAUCAUACAAGACAGGACUCCACAUCCUAUCCUAGUGGACAUGAUCUUUCCUAUUGUGCUUGCCCUUCUAUAACCUCUAUGAGCCCAACACACUAUAGGUCCGACCAUAUGAACCUAGGGCUCUGAUACCAUUCUGUAACGACCCGGAAUUCGGACCGCUAUCGGCGCUAGGGUCCAGAUCGACUUAAGGUCGCCGGGACCCGUAGCAAGCCUAACAUACAUCCUGUACACCUGUUAAAUCCCAUAUAUGAUCAAACAUAAACAUACAAACUUUAAACUUUUCUUUCAUUUACCAAGCUUAACCUGUGCAUACUCGUAAUCAUACACAUAAACCUCACACUGGAGCCCUCAUCAAAUGCUCCAAUGGGGUAACAGAACAUACAUUAAGCUUGGUUUACAUAAAACAUCAUUAACACAUUACAUAGAUCAUGUACCUACAAAGGGAUUAACCAUACAUACUAGGGUCAAGCACAAUUCUAAACCUCAAUAACAUUAUUACAUUACAUGACUGAUCAACACUAUACAUUACAUCAUAUUCUUUCUCAUGUCCAUUUACUAACUAUUACAUAUAUAAAACCUUCCUACUCUAGCUGACUUCCUGGACUGUCUCGUACCUGUAAACCUGGGGUUUAAGGGAAUGGGGUGAGCUAAAAAGCCCAGUGAACAGAACCAUAAAACAUUAUCAUAAAUCAUGCUUUCAUGCAAUGCGUCAUAACACAUACAAUUCACAUCAAGGAUGGACUUGUCACCAAUAACCCUCUCAAUCCAAUGUGCCCGGCCCUCGAUGGAGCUCCGCAGGACUUCUAUAAUCAUCACAUAAUGCCAAGACGUAUGGACAUGGGCAGCCCUGGACUUUCAUUAAUCAUCAUACAUAAAUAAAUGCCAGGACGCGUGGACAUGGGCAGCCUUGGACUUUUACUAAACAUCAGACAUAUUGAGGGCUAAGGGUUCAUCCAAAAUCCAUCCACAUCAACAGCAAUUUAUGCAAUGUAUCAUAUUCGUGAAUUCUAAUGCAACACAACCUAAUAUAUAUACAUGGCAUUCAUGAUGCAUGAAACAUGCUAAAAACUUUCAUUAUUUAAAACAUAGUUCAGUUCUACUCACCUCUGGCUGACUCUAAUCUAAUCUGUAGCAGCUGACUCACUGUUGGGCUCCUCGGUUCCUCGGGUCCGAUCCUACACAGGUGGACUCGAAUGAGGUGCCAAACAAACACUAGCAUAACUCUAAACAACUCCCCAAAAACCCCCCAAAACACCUCAAAACAUUCAUGCAAAACAGGCAAAGGAAGGCUGGACAGGGCACUUUCGGCGGCACCUUCGGCGGCUGAACCCUCCUCCAGAUCCGAAAGUCAUGCACCUUCAGUGGCACCUUCGGCGGCCGAAAGUUCCCUCCAGAUCCGAAAGUCAUGCAUGUUCGGCGGCAGAUUCGGCGGUCGAAACUGCCCUCUAGAGCCAAAAGUCCAACUUUUGGGGGCAGGGUUCGGCAGCCGAAAGCUGCCUCCACAGGCAGGUUCGGCGGCCGAAAGUGCCUUCGGCUGCCGAACCUGAGUUCUUCUAGAAAUGGCAGAACUCAGCCAUUCUAUGCACAUUGCCUCCCAAACUUUUCCAAUCAUGCAUUUAGCUAUUCUACAACAUGCCUACACAUGCCAACAAGCACAUAGGGGUCUCAAACUAUUCUAAACCCCAACAACAACACAUAUAACAUACAUUAACCACAAACUCAACAUAAAUCCUAUCAACAACCAACCAACCCUAACAUGCAUUUCUACCCCUUAAACCAGCAUAAAACUUGCUUAAAACAUACAAGAAGGGUAGGAUCUAAGCUUACUUCUUGAAGAUCGAGAGGAGAAAUGAUCCUUAACUUGGAGGUAGGAGAAAUCUAGCUCCUUGAUAAGCGGUUGUGGAAGCCGUCAAAAAUAAACCUAUUAAACAAUCAACAAUUAACUUGCAGAUAGUGGCAAUAGGGUCGAAUCCACAGGGAAUUGAUACUUACUUAUUUUCCUUGUCAAGACCAAGUAAGGAAACAAACAAUAAAAGUAAAAUGGGGGUUUUGAGGUUUGAUAAACUAAACUAAUAUUGAAAGCAAUAGAGAAAAGCAAAUAAUUAAAGUAGAGAAAUUCAAUAAUGAGAAAGGCCUAGUUUAAGAGUUGGAUCCACUUUAGUUGUUGGGAUUGAUCAUUGAAACUUAUAUUCUCUUAUUUAACUCAAUAAAUUAGUUAUGGAGGUGGAAGACGCUUCUCACCAACCAUAUCCCUCCUUAAGCAUAGAUUAAUUAGGGAACGUCCUCUAAUUAAUCACUAAUCAACAAGUUGCCAUGGAACGUCCUUGGGCCUUUGGCAUCUAACAACUGUUAAUUGCAUUAAGAAAUAGAGAGACCUAAUUCUAGCUACCCAAACGUAUGGUGAUAUUGCUAGAUUAUGCGAUUUCCUAGGUUUUUAUACCAAGGGUUACUUGUGUUUGAAUAAUUCCAGCAAUUACGGACUAAAAAUUAUCCAAACUAACAAAGAAUUACUNNNNNNNNNNNNNNNNNNNNNNNNNNNNNNNNNNNNNNNNNNNNNNNNNNNNNNNNNNNNNNNNNNNNNNNNNNNNNNNNNNNNNNNNNNNNNNNNNNNNNNNNNNNNNNNNNNNNNNNNNNNNNNNNNNNNNNNNNNNNNNNNNNNNNNNNNNNNNNNNNNNNNNNNNNNNNNNNNNNNNNNNNNNNNNNNNNNNNNNNNNNNNNNNNNNNNNNNNNNNNNNNNNNNNNNNNNNNNNNNNNNNNNNNNNNNNNNNNNNNNNNNNNNNNNNNNNNNNNNNNNNNNNNNNNNNNNNNNNNNNNNNNNNNNNNNNNNNNNNNNNNNNNNNNNNNNNNNNNNNNNNNNNNNNNNNNNNNNNNNNNNNNNNNNNNNNNNNNNNNNNNNNNNNNNNNNNNNNNNNNNNNNNNNNNNNNNNNNNNNNNNNNNNNNNNNNNNNNNNNNNNNNNNNNNNNNNNNNNNNNNNNNNNNNNNNNNNNNNNNNNNNNNNNNNNNNNNNNNNNNNNNNNNNNNNNNNNNNNNNNNNNNNNNNNNNNNNNNNNNNNNNNNNNNNNNNNNNNNNNNNNNNNNNNNNNNNNNNNNNNNNNNNNNNNNNNNNNNNNNNNNNNNNNNNNNNNNNNNNNNNNNNNNNNNNNNNNNNNNNNNNNNNNNNNNNNNNNNNNNNNNNNNNNNNNNNNNNNNNNNNNNNNNNNNNNNNNNNNNNNNNNNNNACAUUCUAACUAUUACAACUCAAGACUUCAUUCACCUUGACUUCUCUGUCUAGCCUGUACCUGCAACCCUGGGGGAUUAGGGAAAAGGGGUGAGCUACUAGAGCCCAGUGAGCAGAAUAAUAAAACAUUUAAAUCAUAUGCUAUAAUGGAAUGCAACACAUCACAGACAAAUCACAUCACGGAUGAUAUUGUCACCAAGAGUCCUCUACAUUCCAAAGUGUCGGGAUGUAGAAUGGGUCAACCGGUCUUUCUCUUAACAUAACAUAACAUAACAUUCCAAUAUGCCAGGGACGUAGAAUGGGUACAACCUGGACUUUCUCUUACAUAGUGCCAGGGACGUAGAAUGGGUACAACCUGGACUUCCGUACCAUACCGUAUCAUAUCACAUCGCAUCAUAUCGAGGACUAAGGAUCAUCCAAUAACCAUCCACAUCAUCAUCAAAUUAUGCAAUGCAACAUAUUCGUGAAUUCUAAUGCAAACAACCUAGAAUAUCACAUAUCAUUCGUGAUGCAUGAACAUGCUCAAAUUUAUAUUGAUUUGCGUUAAAACAUAAGUGUUUAUUCUACUCACCUCAACUAGCUCUGACAAUGACUGAAGCAGCUGACUCACUGCUGGGGUCCUCGGUUCCUCGGGUUCGAACCUACACAGGUGGACUCAAAUGAGGGACCAAACAACUAGAACAUAACUCUAAAAACAUCCCCUAAAAACCCUCUAAAACACCUCAAAACAUCCAUGCAAAAACAUGCAAAGGAAGGCUGAACAGGGCACUUUCGGCGGCCGGUUCGGCGGCCGAAAGUCCCUCCAGAGCCAAAAGUCAGGCAGGUUCGGCGGCCGAAACUCCCAGACAGAGAAGAAACUCAUGCAUGUUCGGCGGCACUUUCGGCGGCCGAAACUGCCCUCCAGAGACGAAAGUCCUCUUUUGGGGACAGGCUUCGGCAGCCGAAAGGCUGGCCUCCCAGGCAGGUUCGGCGGCCGAAAGUCCUUUGGCUGCCAAACCUGGUUUCUGCCAAAGGGCAGAAACUUGGUUCCUCACGCACAUUUGCCUCCCAAAACCAUCUAAACAUGCAUUUUUCCUAAUCUACAACAUACAUACUCAAGCAUACAAGUUCCUAGGGGCUUUAAACUAUCUUAAACCCCAUCUACAACACAUCAAACAUCCACAUUGUCCAAAAACAUAACUUGAACCCAUAAACCUAACCAUAAGCUAAACAUGCAUUCUACCCCAUAGAUCUACUUAAAACUUACUUAAAACAUGCCAUAAGCUCAAGAUCGGCCCUUACCUCUUGAAGAUCGAGAGGAGAACGACCCUAGCUCGGAAAAUGGGAGAGAGAGAGUUCCUUGAACCUCCAAGCUCCAAAACUUGCUCAAAUGUUCAAAACCUUCAAAAAAAGGGUAAAACUAAUGAAAAUCGAGAAAGAUUUGAAGGAAGGAACUCAAAACCGGCGAGGGAUGGCGGAGAGCUCACCUUGGCCGAAAAUGGGAAGAAAAGCUUGCCCGUUUUCGGCUAAGGGACCCCUUUAUAGGUGGCUGGCCAGGCCACGUUCGGGAGCCGAAAGUGCCUCCGCAUGCAUGCUAUGUUCGGCGGCCGAACUUGAGGUUCGGCGGUCGAACCUGGACUUCCCUCACUUAUGCUUUCGGGGGCCUAAAGCACUCCCGAAGUGCAUGCAUGUUCUGCGACCGAACCUGAGUUUUCCUCCAAGGUUGUUUUCAUGCAAAAACUCAUUUUCUUUCAUGCUUAAAACAUAAAACACAUUAAAACAGUUUAUGAAAACAUAGUUUUACCCUUCUAGAGGUCUCCGACACCCGAGAUUCCACCGGACGGUAGGAAUUUCGAUACCGGAGUCUAGCCGGGUAUUACAUUCUCCCCCCCCUUAAGAACAUUCGUCCCCGAAUGUUCACCAACUAACACAUAGCAUGGCAUAAACAAAACAUACACAUAAAACACAUAAGAGACUAACCUUAGAAAACAUAAGGGUAUUGCUGGAGCAUGGACUCCCGUGUCUCCCAAGUGCACUCUUCCAUAUUGUGGUGGUUCCACAGGACUUUCACCAUCAGAAUUUCCUUGUUUCUUAGCUUCUUGAUCUAGGUGUCUAUGAUCCGUACUGACUGCUCAACAUAGGUGAGAUCCUCUUGGAUCUCCACAUCAGGUUCACUAAGAACCUUGCCCGGAUCUGACACGAACUUCCUCAACAUGGAAACAUGGAAAACCGGAUGGAUUCUCUCCAUUAAAGCAGGUAAAUCCAGCUUGUACGACACAUUCCCAAUCUUUUGCAAGAUUUCAAAGGGUCCGAUGUAUCGUGGGGCUAGUUUACCUUUCUUCCCAAAGCGAACCACUCCUUUCAUAGGAGACACCUUGAGCAAUACCAGAUCCCCCUCCUGAAACUCUACCUGUCUUCUGCGGAUGUCUGCAUAACUCUUUUGUCU